UUUUAAUAAACAUUAUCCCUUUUUCAUGAUAUAUAGACUAUAAUAUUCGUUUUAUAAAUAUAAAAAUAUUUUAAUCGAUUCAAAAUAGGUCUUAUUUUUCAGUGCACAUGGAUCUAAAAAGAUAAAAUUUAGUGCUUCGUUUAAUUAGUAAUAAAAUCAAUCAGGUGAAAUUAAGUCUACAAAGUUGGGCAUAAUAAUGUUAUAUGGAGUAUUUUGAAAGUGAAGGGUUUUGAUCAAUCAAAGCAGCUAUAUAUAUAUAUGUGGUGACUUUGAAAGCCCAAAUCAAGUACACAUGCAGUGAUAUAUAUACUCCUAUAAAUAUACGACGACGAAGAAAAUUGAAAGAUAUAGGGUUUGUAGGUGGUGUAUAGAUCCGGGCCACUGAGUUUGGGUUAUGGGAAGGUGGGUGGCCCACUGGUGAGUAAAUUCAAUGGAUUGGGGUUGCCAAAAAGAAAAUCUAACGUCUCAUGAGGUUAAAACAGACAGGGGCCAGCUAGUUGAAGUGUUUUUUUUUUUUUGAAUCGUCCUAUUUUUUUCAGCUUUACCUUACCUGCCUGUCAAAAAUUGGAACAUAUCAAUCAAUCAAUCAAUCACUAGUCACUCAUAAGCCUCAUACUUGACACAAUCCAAAUCAAACCCAGUAACUUC
This 648-nucleotide long non-coding RNA is filed under the name Panax ginseng (ginseng). RNAcentral describes it as "long non-coding RNA (PGIN_LNC006394)". The record is from RNAcentral. Lineage: Eukaryota; Viridiplantae; Streptophyta; Magnoliopsida; Apiales; Araliaceae.